Molecule: long non-coding RNA, 971 nt
Filed under: Anolis carolinensis (green anole)
Lineage: Eukaryota; Metazoa; Chordata; Lepidosauria; Squamata; Anolidae
Description: lncRNA (ENSACAG00000036746.1)
Source: RNAcentral
GUUUCAUGUCCAGGCCUCCUAGAGUUCUGGAUCACAAGUGAUUUCAACCCUGGGCUUUUGUCCCCCCACCCUUCUUCCUUCUCAGCCCUGGAGAAAGCAGGCCAGAAGAAAAAGCAGGGGACAAAUGCAGUAUUGAAUUUGAGAAAACCGUCUGACACUGCUUUUGUAUCUCAAAUUCAGCCAUGCAUAUAGUUCCAAAGGACAAACAACACAGCAGAAAUGAUAGCCCAUGGCUACUGACUGUGACCAGGCAAUGAAGUCUGACUGAGCCUUCACUUUGUACAUUCGCCCACCAGUGGCUUAGCCUAAAGAACCGUGAUUGGUGUUUUAAAGGACAAUGGUGUCACUGUGCUCCAAAGUCAUAUGAAGUUCCAUUUUAACCUGCAGCUUUUGCUCUUUCGUAAGUAAACAUUGGAACAAUUAUGUCCAACUCUGCUAUAAGGUAGUAUGGGGCAGCUAUCUCAGGUAGCAGAAGCUAUGGAAUGACAUUAUCUGCUCACUAGAUGCUACUCCUAAUGCCUUGUUUAUUCUCCCCCACUCCAAUAUAUUUCUGCAUCAGAUGAACUAGCUUGCUUCCUUUGCCAAACCCAACAACUUGUGUACUCACAAUGGAAGGAGGUAUUUAUUACUCUUUGCAUCAAGUAUAUUAAGGCCUUUGUAUUUCUCUGCACACAAUUACAGCAUUUUUUAAAUGUGAGUUUAUGCUAGAUUUUUGUAUUAUAACAUUUCAAACAGUUGGCAGAAUGUUUUCAUUGGGGAAUGUGAGAGAUGCUUAAUUGUUUCUCACAGCCAGAAGGCAAGCAACAACCUGUCCCAUACCAAUCCCAUAAGGUCUAGAAGAUAAAAUGAAGCAGACUUAAUUUUCUUUGCUUGUUUAAUGGAAAGAUAGAUAGAUAGAUAGAUAGAUAGAUAGAUAGAUAGAUAGAUAGAUAGAUAGAUAGAUAGAUAAAGUUAAUUUUAUGUACACAAUC